This 253-nucleotide ribosomal RNA is filed under the name uncultured bacterium. Its description in RNAcentral is "partial 16S ribosomal RNA". It matches the Rfam family "Bacterial small subunit ribosomal RNA", at positions 524 to 776 of the family's 1533-position model. The record is from RNAcentral.
UACGGCGGGGGCCAGCGUUGUUCGGAAUUACUGGGCGUAAAGCGCGCGUAGGCGGACCUGCAAGUCGGGGGUGAAAGCCCGAGGCUCAACCUCGGAACUGCCUUCGAUACUGCGGGUCUCGAGUCCGGGAGAGGUGAGUGGAAUUCCUAGUGUAGAGGUGAAAUUCGUAGAUAUUAGGAAGAACACCAGUGGCGAAGGCGGCUCACUGGCCCGGUAAUGACGCUGAGGUGCGAAAGCGUGGGGAGCAAACAGG